This 894-nucleotide ribosomal RNA is filed under the name Triticum aestivum (bread wheat). RNAcentral's name for it is "partial small subunit ribosomal RNA". The record is from RNAcentral. Lineage: Eukaryota; Viridiplantae; Streptophyta; Magnoliopsida; Poales; Poaceae.
AUGCUACGGUUAGCAGGUUAUCGAUCCUCCAUCGCCGCCGAGAAGCGCCGCCGCCGUCGCGUCCUCAUGGAUAAUGGCGGCCUACGCCGCCGCCUCAAACCAAGCGGCGCCAUGGAGGGGAAAGGUUCCGCGAAGAAGGCAAGGACGACUACAUCUCCAGAGGAGGAAGCAGUGCCGGCGGCGGCGGCGGCGGCGGCCAGCCUCCUGACGGACGACCUCAUCUUGGAGAUCCUCUCCCGCCUUCCAGCCAGGUCCGUCCACCGCUUCAAGUGCGUCUCCCCGGCCUGGCGCGACCUUAUCGCCGACCCCGCCCACCGCAAGAAGCUGCCCCAUCCCCUCGCCGGUUUCCUGUACAACACCUACCACAGGCCGGACCCCCGCUUCUACAACUUUCACUUCGCCAAAGUCUCCGGCGCCGCAGCCCCGCCGGUGGACAUGUCCCUCUCUUUCUUGCCACCCGACGAGUAUUGGUAUGUCGACCAGCUGGACACCUGCAAUGGCCUCCUCCUCUGCCGCGCCCACAUGCUCCCUUCUUCUCCUUCCGGGGACGAGAAUACGCCGGUUGAAUCCCAUUACAUCGUGUGCAAUCCGGCCACCGGGAGGUGGGUCGACCUCCCCCCUCACCCCGAGGUGCCACCCGGCAGUCGCAUCUUCGCUCGCUUGGCUUUUGAUCCAGCAGUCUCGUCCCAUUUCCACGUGCUUCAGUUUAAGGACAGCCAGCAGAAGGAAUAUGUCACAGGAGUGAACAUCUACUCUUCUCAAACCGGGGCAUGGAUUUGUAGAGAGAGCCGCUUGGUUGAGAAAAUUAGCCUGUUCACUGGCCUCGCAAAGUGUCUUCUUUCACGGUAUGCUGGACUUGCUUGGGUUACUGUAUCCCAUGAACAUGGAGGAUGA